RNAcentral lists this ribosomal RNA (622 nucleotides) under uncultured bacterium. RNAcentral describes it as "bacterial SSU rRNA". The stretch from base 1 to 542 matches the Rfam family "Bacterial small subunit ribosomal RNA", at positions 338 to 873 of the family's 1533-position model. The record is from RNAcentral.
CCUACGGGAGGCAGCAGUGGGGAAUUUUGGACAAUGGGCGCAAGCCUGAUCCAGCAAUGCCGCGUGAGUGAAGAAGGCCUUCGGGUUGUAAAGCUCUUUUGUCAGGGAAGAAACGGUCUACUCUAAUACAGUGGGCUAAUGACGGUACCUGAAGAAUAAGCACCGGCUAACUACGUGCCAGCAGCCGCGGUAAUACGUAGGGUGCAAGCGUUAAUCGGAAUUACUGGGCGUAAAGCGUGCGCAGGCGGUUAUAUAAGUCAGAUGUGAAAUCCCCGGGCUCAACCUGGGAACUGCAUUUGAGACUGUAUGGCUAGAGUGUGUCAGAGGGGGGUAGAAUUCCACGUGUAGCAGUGAAAUGCGUAGAUAUGUGGAGGAAUACCGAUGGCGAAGGCAGCCCCCUGGGAUAACACUGACGCUCAUGCACGAAAGCGUGGGGAGCAAACAGGAUUAGAUACCCUGGUAGUCCACGCCCUAAACGAUGUCUACUAGUUGUCGGGACUUAAUUGUCUUGGUAACGCAGCUAACGCGUGAAGUAGACCGCCUGGGGUAAGGUAGGUCGNGAGAGUUAAACUUACAANAGAGUUGAGGCGNGAGAGNGCGACGGACGACGACGAGGAGGAGG